GAUGAACGCUGGCGGCGUGCCUAAUACAUGCAAGUCGAGCGAACAGAUGAGGAGCUUGUUCCUCUGACGUUAGUGGCGGACGGGUGAGUAACACGUGGAUAACCUAACCAUAAGACUGGGAUAACUUCGGGAAACCGGAGUUAAUACCGGAUAAUAUAUUCAACCGCAUGGUUCAAUAGUGAAAGAUGGUUUUGCUGUUACUUAUAGAUGGAUCCGCGCCGCAUUAGCUAGUUGGUAAGGUAACGGCUUACCAAGGCAACGAUGCAUAGCCGACCUGGGAGGGGAUUCGUCCACACUGCGACAGGAUCACGGUCCAGACUCCUACGGGGAGCAGCAGUAGGGAACUUUCCGCGAUAGGCGUAAGCCUGACGGAGCAACGCCGCAUAGGUUAUGGAGGUCUUCGGGUCGUAAAACUCUAUUAUUAGGGAAGAACAAAUUUGUAAGUAACUGAACACAUCUUGACGGUACCUGAGCAGAAAGCCACGGCUAACUACGUG
This 497-nucleotide ribosomal RNA is filed under the name uncultured bacterium. Its description in RNAcentral is "partial 16S ribosomal RNA". It matches the Rfam family "Bacterial small subunit ribosomal RNA", at positions 28 to 507 of the family's 1533-position model. The record is from RNAcentral.